GGUCAGUUAGCUCAGUCGGUUAGAGCGUGGUGCUGAUAAUGUCAGGGUAGCAGGUUGGAUCCCCAUAGGGGCCA
Podarcis lilfordi (Lilford's wall lizard) is the source of this 74-nucleotide non-coding RNA. The record is from the annotation of a GenBank genome assembly. NCBI's taxonomy places the organism in Eukaryota, Metazoa, Chordata, Lepidosauria, Squamata, Lacertidae.